CGUGUAGGCGGUUGAAAAAGUCAGGUGUGAAAUUCUUCGGCUCAACCGAGGGACUGCGCCUGAAACUUUUCGACUGGAGUUUGGGAGGGGCAACUGGAAUUCCUGGUGUAACGGUGAAAUGUGUAGAUAUCAGGAGGAACACCCGUGGCGAAGGCGGGUUGCUGGACCAAAACUGACGCUGAGACGCGAAAGCGUGGGUAGCAAACA
This 207-nucleotide ribosomal RNA is filed under the name uncultured bacterium. RNAcentral's name for it is "partial 16S ribosomal RNA". It matches the Rfam family "Bacterial small subunit ribosomal RNA", at positions 568 to 774 of the family's 1533-position model. The record is from RNAcentral.